AACGGCUUAUUAAUGACUUACAAAUUGUUUACAACCUAAUUAAUAACCUAAUUAUAAACCAUUUAUAAACUUUUAUAAAUGGAGCCUUAUUGUGAAGUGGUACCAAAAUAUCUUCUUAUUUUUUUUUUCCCUGCCCAGACCUCAGCAUACUACCCACUAUAGAAGUGAUUCUGUCAGAUGUGGUCCAGAGGAUGGCAAUAAUGAUCUGGAUAGGGGGAAUGAUGAGCGUCUCCCUACCAU
Molecule: long non-coding RNA, 240 nt
Organism: Clupea harengus (Atlantic herring)
Lineage: Eukaryota; Metazoa; Chordata; Actinopteri; Clupeiformes; Clupeidae
Exons: 3
Source: RefSeq, a predicted model, not a curated record